Helianthus annuus (common sunflower) is the source of this 478-nucleotide long non-coding RNA. RefSeq lists it as uncharacterized. NCBI's taxonomy places the organism in Eukaryota, Viridiplantae, Streptophyta, Magnoliopsida, Asterales, Asteraceae. The transcript has 3 exons. The record is from RefSeq and is a predicted model, not a curated record.
AAAACCCGAAUUUUUAUAUUCGUUAAAUGUUAUAAUAUGGCACAUCAAGAAAUAAAUAACUAGGUUAUUUAACCUAGUUAAAAGUAUGGUAGAAGCAAUUAAAGGAUGAGUGUUGUGCCAAUUAUGAAUAAGAGAGAACAUGAGGGACUAAGAUUGCCAAACUUGAAUCUGAGUUUAAUUAAAACAAAAAAAAUCUCAGACACACUAGGUGUGUGCGUGAGAUCGAUCAGGAGGAGGAGAAAAUGGGUGUAAACCCUAGUUCACAAGCAAGCUUCAAAUUGACAAGGAGAUUAGGCUCAAAUCCGAUGCAUGAACUCGUUUUCUUGACAAUCUAUCCCUAGCAAGCAUGUGGAGUCAUGUCAAGACGGACUCAAGCAUGAAAGGCUAACGGGUCAAGAGGAGGCAAGGAAUCGGAUACGAACCCGGAUGCACAAGGUAGUACGAGUCAUGAGGAUCAUCAAGGAACAGAGAUCGAGGA